RNAcentral lists this ribosomal RNA (254 nucleotides) under uncultured bacterium. RNAcentral's name for it is "partial 16S ribosomal RNA". It matches the Rfam family "Bacterial small subunit ribosomal RNA", at positions 524 to 776 of the family's 1533-position model. The record is from RNAcentral.
UACGGAGGGUGCGAGCGUUAUCCGGAAUCACUGGGUUUAAAGGGUGCGUAGGCGGUUCGGAAAGUCUGUCGUGAAAUGCUCUGGCUCAACCAGUAGGACUGCGAUGGAUACUUCCGAACUUGAAUUGGGUUGAGGCAGGCGGAAUGUGGCAUGUAGCGGUGAAAUGCAUAGAUAUGCCAUAGAACACCGAUCGCGAAGGCAGCUUGCCAAGCCUUGAUUGACGCUGAGGCACGAAAGCGUGGGGAGCAAACAGG